GUCUACGGCCAUGCUACCCUGACCAAGCCUGAUCCCGUCUGAUCUCGGAAGCUAAGCAGGAGGGCCUGGUUAGUACUUGGAUGGGAGACGACCUAGGAAGACCAGGUGCUGUAGGCG
This 117-nucleotide ribosomal RNA is filed under the name Pteropus alecto (black flying fox). The record is from RNAcentral. Lineage: Eukaryota; Metazoa; Chordata; Mammalia; Chiroptera; Pteropodidae.